This 503-nucleotide ribosomal RNA is filed under the name uncultured bacterium. Its description in RNAcentral is "bacterial SSU rRNA". It matches the Rfam family "Bacterial small subunit ribosomal RNA", at positions 28 to 490 of the family's 1533-position model. The record is from RNAcentral.
GACGAACGCUGGCGGCGUGCCUAAUACAUGCAAGUCGAACGCACUCUCGUUUAGAUUGAAGGAGCUUGCUCCUGAUUGAUAAACAUUUGAGUGAGUGGCGGACGGGUGAGUAACACGUGGGUAACCUGCCCUAAAGUGGGGGAUAACAUUUGGAAACAGAUGCUAAUACCGCAUAAAACCUAACACCGCAUGGUGUAGGGUUGAAAAAUGGUUUCGGCUAUCACUUUAGGAUGGACCCGCGGUGCAUUAGUUAGUUGGUGAGGUAAAGGCUCACCAAGACCGUGAUGCAUAGCCGACCUGAGAGGGUAAUCGGCCACACUGGGACUGAGACUCGGCCCAGACUCCUACAGGAGGCAGCAGUAGGGAAUCUUCCACAAUGGACGAAAGUCUGAUGGAGCAACGCCGCGUGAGUGAAGAAGGUUUUCGGAUCGUAAAACUCUGUUGUUGGAGAAGAAUGUAUCUGAUAGUAACUGAUCAGGUAGUGACGGUAUCCAACCAGAAAG